CUAAUUCAGCAACAGUUUUGAUUUUGAUGCUCCCUUUGGAUGUCUGUCUACAGGGACACUUUUCCUUGUGCUGCCUAAAUGUGAAACUACACAUCACAACUUAGUAUUAUGGCUCUUAGUUGAGAUUAUCUUGUAAUACGUGUUUGUUUUCCAUGUCUGUAUUCCCUCAUUCUGGCCUGUUUAAAGGCUAUACUGGUUAAAGAGAGUGAAGCAGGCUUCUCUGUCCUGUCUCUAUGUCUUCACUAGCCACUCCCUCUUUUGCCCCUCACAUCUGCUUACUCCCCCUCCACCCUGCUGAAAAGACAGUGACAAACACUUAUAAAGUGAUUGCUAAGAGGGAAACAUGAUGUUGCUUAUAUCAACCAAUGACAAUAGUAAUGCCAUCUGAUUUCCAAUUUAAUAUAUGCCAGGUACUGUAUUUACAUGUAUAAACUCAUUUAAUCAUCAAAAUAACCUAAUGGGGUAAGUAUUAGUAUCAUUAUCCCCAUUGACAUCUGAGGAAACCGAGGCAAGAAACAGUUAAAUACCUUAUACCUCAUCCAAGAUCACACAGUUAGCAAAGGUAGAUGCAGGAUUUGAGCCCAGGGAGUCUGGUUUUGGAGAUCACGCAUUCUUAAUUAUUAUGCUGCAAUGCUUCUCAUGGCUAAGCUUAAAAUAACCAAGCCAAUGUUGUAAAGGAAGUGGGAACCAGCUUCCCUACUGCACCAGUGCCCU
RNAcentral lists this long non-coding RNA (714 nucleotides) under Marmota monax (woodchuck). Lineage: Eukaryota; Metazoa; Chordata; Mammalia; Rodentia; Sciuridae. The record is from RNAcentral.